AGUGUUCGUGCGCGUCUUCCAUCGGUUUAGGGAUCUAAGCAAGGGGUGCGUGCGACGGACCCCGAGGGCGGCCAGCUGGGUGUGGCAGGGUGGCGGCGGGGCUGUGGCGGGCCCCGAUGGCGGCCAGCUAGAGCUGCGGUAUGGUGCCGGCGGGGUAUGGCGGUACGGAGAUGGCGCGGCGGGCUGCGUCGGUACGGAGAUUUGCGGCGGCACGGAGAUAUCGCGGCGAGGUGCGGCAGGACGGGGAAGUCGCGUCGGGUUGCAGCAGGACGUAGAGGUGACGGCCGGGUUGCGGAAGGACGAGAGAGAGGCCCACCGGCGGAGAGAGGUGCCGGUGUAGAUCGUGUCAACGGCGGAAGGAGGGACCGGGCUGGAGGGGGUACAGGUGGUGCUUUCGUGUGCGUCGCCACCGCCGCUAAACCUAGCCCCGUCGCACGCCGACCCGUUCCCGUAGCUACGCCGACUCCCUUUCCUCAUGAGGCCGCCGCCCCUUGCCCCUCGAGGCCGCCACCCUUUGCUCAUCUACAAGGUCACCUGUUCCGUGGAGUACGAAAAUAAUAAGAGACCAAGAGGCUAAACGACACAUGACGACGGUCGAUCAGACUAACACUCUUCGAAAUACCGUCGCUAUACUUGAUUAAAAUCUUCAACUCGACAACACACGUUUAAAACAAAUAAAGGUCACGUUUAAAACACCAUGGCUAUACUUGAUUAGAAAAAAAAGGUAACCAGUAAAUCAAGUGGAAAGUGAUUCUCAGUACAAAUGCCACAAUGAGAACAAUACGAAGACGGGUUCUAUUCAAUUAAAAACGAGAAGGUUUUUCCAAGGGGCCUAUACAAAGGACAAAACACGAAUCAAACGGUACUACACAAAUCAGACGGUGGCACAAAUCACAGAGAAACACGAACUAUUCUCCUAACAAGUUUACAUUUUUGAAAGAAAAAUGUACUCUACUGUACCGAAAACGGGGGACAAAAGCGACUGAACCAAAGACGUCCAUCGUAUCACAUAUUGACGACCAUUGUAACUCAGCAGUUCCUCUUCAUCGUCCUCCUUUUUACCGUUCGCGUUCACCUUCGCCUUUUCGAUUUCCACCACCCCCAGUACCUCCUUGUAGACUUUCGCCAUUCUCCAUGUUCAAACUACGGCGCGACUAACUACGUGUUGAAUACUUUUCUACACUGUCAUCUUAAUCACUUCGACUGACCUUCUUGGAAUAAUGAAUGACCUCUAGAAGCCAUAAACUUCGACAGUUUGAACAGGUAGUCGGAGCUUCUCUAGUUCAAAUAUAGCUCUGUUUAUGUACGUUCUUUCCCCUAUUCUUUCCCUCAAUACACGGCGUCCGUCUUCGUUGUUAAUUUAUAGAGCAUCUCUUUCGACUUUUCGCGUGACUUACCUUCCUUUUUCGUAAGUUCUUCCACUAGACAAACGUGUACAUACACCUUACUUCCUCGGUUCCCCAGCACAAGCAUGAAGACAUACGUACCUGACCAGUACUUUGAGGACAACGAGUCCGUUGUUAAAGGUUUAAACUGGGCAUAAACCAGUCCGUUCCUUACCGAUUUCCAUGCGCGCGAAAAUUUUAAAGAUCUUCCCAUGGGGAAAAGGACAGUCACUACAAGUUCGAUCUCUUACAAGAGGUUACUCUACUUCCUACUUCCGAAACUACAGUUCACGUUCUUGCUACGUUGCUAGAACGACCUUCCGACACUCCUACCCAUACAUCAACGGGUGAUGUUCCUCGGUUCCGUCUACUACAUAACGUCUUUUUUUUCGCUGUUUGAAAACGAGAGUCUGUCACUUGAUAGUACAAAGGAGAUAAAUUAAUCAAUGUAAUCAAAUAAAUAUCCUUUGAACCGACCGGUAAGCAAGUAUUGAUAACUUGAUAAAUAUACACUUUUAAUUACUUACACACACUGAUAACAAACCA
This 1931-nucleotide ribosomal RNA is filed under the name Triticum aestivum (bread wheat). RNAcentral's name for it is "partial small subunit ribosomal RNA". Lineage: Eukaryota; Viridiplantae; Streptophyta; Magnoliopsida; Poales; Poaceae. The record is from RNAcentral.